This 1657-nucleotide ribosomal RNA is filed under the name Mytilus coruscus. Its description in RNAcentral is "SSU rRNA". It matches the Rfam family "Eukaryotic small subunit ribosomal RNA". Lineage: Eukaryota; Metazoa; Mollusca; Bivalvia; Mytilida; Mytilidae. The record is from RNAcentral.
AUCUGGUUGAUCCUGCCAGGUCUUACGGUCCAUGUCUAAGCGCCUGUGAUGAAACCGCGAAUGGCUCUAAUCGUAUGGUUCCUUAGAUCGUACAAUCCCUUGGAUAACUGUUUUCUCUAAUACAUGAAGCACGGCUCUGACCUCGCCCGGAAAGAGCGCGUUUAUUAGAUCAAACCAGUCGGGUUCGCAAGGGCCGUCGGUUGAAAUGAGACUGGAUAACUUUGUGCUGAAAAAACCUCGCGCCGGCGACGUAUGUUCAAAUGUGCCUAUCAGCUUUCGAUGGUGCAAUUAUGCCUACCAUGGUUUGUAACGGGUAUAAAUCGAGGGAUUCCGGUCGGCAUGCUACCACAUCAUGCAACCAGGCGCGAUUCCUGUUCUAGGUUUGACGCUGGACUCUUUCGGAGGCUCGUAAUUGGAAUAGUACUUUAAACCCGCUAACGAGGAUCUAUUGGAGGGCAAAUCUGGUGCCAGCAGCCGCGGUAAUUCAACUCCAAUAGCGUAUAUUAAAAGUUGUUAGUUAAAAAAGCUCAUGGUUGGAAGGUCAGGCUUUUGGAUCGUUACUGCUUUCGUCCUGACCUACCUCAGUUUUCGCCCUUGGUGCUCUUGACUGAAGUGUCUCGGGUGGCCGGAACGUUUGCUGAAAAAAUUAGGGUGUUCAAAGCAGGCAAUAUCGCCUGAAUAAUGGUGCAUGGAAUAAUGGAAUAGGACCUCGGUUCUAUUUGCUGGUUUUCGGGCUCGAGGUAAUGAUUAAGAGGACUGACGGGGCAUUCGUAUUACGGUGUUAGGGGUGAAAAUUCUUGGAUCGCCGUAAGACGAACUACUGCAACAUUGCCAAAUGUUUUCAUUAGUCAGAACGAAAGUCAGAGGGUUCGAAGACGAUCAGAUACCGUCAGUUCUGACCAUAAACGAUGCCAACUAGCGAUCCGCGGAGUUACUUCAAUGACUCGGGCACCCCAGGAAACCAAAGUUUUGGGUUCCGGGAAGUAUGGUGCAAAACCUGAAACUUAAAGGAAUUGACGGAAGGGCACCACCAGGGUGGAGCCUGCGGCUUAAUUUGACUCAACUUUGGAAAACUCACCCGGCCCGGACACUGUAAGGAUUGACAGAUUGAGAGCUCUUUCUUGAUUCGGUGGGUGGUGGUGCAUAGCCGAUUCUUAGUUGGUGGAGCAAUUGUCUGGUUAGCAAUUCCGAUAACGGAACGAGACUCUAGCCUACUAAAUAGUUCGCCGAUCCCCAUUUGCGUCGGCGCAGCUUAACUAGAGGACAAGUGGCGUUUAACCACACGAGAUUGGUAAUAACAGGUCUGUGAUGCCCUUAGAUGUUCGGGGGCCGCACGCGCUCUACUGAAGGAAUCAGCGUGUCUCUGCGCCCUGGAAAGGUCAGGUAACCCGUUGAACCUCCUUCGUGCUGGGGUUGACGCGUAAUUCUAUGAACGAGGAAUUCCCCAGUAAGCGCGAGUCAUAAGCUCGCGUUGAUUACGUCUGCCCUUUAUUACACCGCCCGUCGCUACUGCCGAUUGGGCACGUUUUAGUGAGACGCCUCAGUUGGACCCGGAAAUGGUUGGCAACAACCGGUGCCGAAAAGACGCGCCAAGCGAACGCCUGAAAGAGUAAAGAAGUCGCCAAGGUUUCCGUGAUGAACCUGCGGAAGGAUCAUU